UACGUAGGGGGCGAGCGUUGUUCGGAUUUACUGGGCGUAAAGCGUGCGUAGGCGGUCUAGCAAGUCUGGCGUGAAAUCCGCACCACUUAACGGGCGGGUGUCGUCGGAUACUGCUAGGCUCGAGGACGAGAGAGGAAAGCGGAAUUCCAGGUGUAGCGGUGGAAUGCGCAGAUAUCUGGAAGAACACCAGUGGCGAAGGCGGCUUUCUGGCUCGUUUCUGACGCUCAGGCACGAAAGCCAGGGGAGCGAACGGG
RNAcentral lists this ribosomal RNA (254 nucleotides) under uncultured bacterium. RNAcentral's name for it is "partial 16S ribosomal RNA". It matches the Rfam family "Bacterial small subunit ribosomal RNA", at positions 524 to 776 of the family's 1533-position model. The record is from RNAcentral.